Molecule: long non-coding RNA, 271 nt
Organism: Uloborus diversus
Lineage: Eukaryota; Metazoa; Arthropoda; Arachnida; Araneae; Uloboridae
Exons: 3
Source: RefSeq, a predicted model, not a curated record
GGAAAUUUAGUUUACAAACAUUAUUGCAAAAAAAAAAAAAAGUAACGGUGUUAGAAUACAAAUGAUAGAAGAAUUUAAUUCUUAUUUCUGUGCCAUGAAAAAUGUUGGAAAAAAUUCAAGCUUUGAACCAUAAAAUGUGGUUUACUUUAAGUAAUAUGUCAGUGUAGAAGAAGUGAGAAUGGAUGAUUGUGAAGCUGUAGAUCCUCGAGUAAAAGAUCAGUUGGAGUACCUGAAUUCUUAUACUGACGAAAUCAACAGUCUUGAAUUACAG